CGAGUCAUAACUCAGCGGUAGAGUACUAUUCUGAUAAGAUAGAGGUCCCAUGUUCGAAUCGUGGUGGCUCGA
RNAcentral lists this transfer RNA (72 nucleotides) under Bacteroidia bacterium. RNAcentral's name for it is "tRNA-Ile". It matches the Rfam family "tRNA". Rfam says of the family: Transfer RNA (tRNA) molecules are approximately 80 nucleotides in length. Their secondary structure includes four short double-helical elements and three loops (D, anti-codon, and T loops). Further hydrogen bonds mediate the characteristic L-shaped molecular structure. tRNAs have two regions of fundamental functional importance: the anti-codon, which is responsible for specific mRNA codon recognition, and the 3' end, to which the tRNAs corresponding amino acid is attached (by aminoacyl-tRNA synthetases). tRNAs cope with the degeneracy of the genetic code in two manners: having more than one tRNA (with a specific anti-codon) for a particular amino acid; and 'wobble' base-pairing, i.e. permitting non-standard base-pairing at the 3rd anti-codon position. Lineage: Bacteria; Pseudomonadati; Bacteroidota; Bacteroidia. The record is from RNAcentral.